CACCUACCUUCAUCGUAGUUAUAGCCUCGAACAUUCCGAUGCCGGGCCAUGCGCCAUCUUGGCUUCCCGCAGGCCUCUGCGCCGAGCGCCUGCGCAAGCGCGACGUCUUAGCUGUGCACCGCGCGACGGCAAUGCAAGCGGGGAACCUUGAGCUACCUACGCCAGCGUUCUGGAUUAUUUUCCAAAUUUGGUUCCUGAUAAUCUGAGAAAGCUAUGCGCUCAGUAAGAGCAGGGACCUUGUUUUAUCAAACUUUGAUCUUUCAUUAAGCACACAGUGGGCAUUCAACAAACUUGUGUAAACUUGGAAUCAGAUUUAGCCCAGGCCGGUGCGGUGGCUCCUUCCUGUAAUCCCAGCACUUUGGGAAGCCUAGGAGGGCGGAUCGCUUGAACUCAGGUGUUCGAGACCAGCCUGAGCAACAUAGCGAGGCUCCGUCUCUACAAAAAAUACAAACACUAGCCGGCCCUGUGGUGCAGACCUGUAGUCCCAGCUACUGAAGAGGCUGAGGUGGGAGGAUCCCCUGAGCCCAGGCGGUCGAGGCUGCAGUGAGCUGAGAUCGGGCCUCUCCAUUCCAGCCCGGGCGACAAAGAAUCCAGCUAAGUAAAAAUUGGCAAGAUCCUGUGACAAGAUCCUGUGACAAGAUCCUGUGAUCAAGACAAAGUUUUGCCCCCAAAGGACUUGAGGCUAUCUGGGAAUUCCAUGUUUGACAGAAGCGCUGACAGCAUAACCAAGCAAACAAGAAGGUAUUCAGGGACGCUGAAACGGAUCUUCAAAGAAGACUCAGUGGGUGAUUUUUAAUUUCUGUGUAGUAUUAUAGAGCUUAAUGCAGAACAUACCAAAACCUUGGAGAGGUAAUGAUAGGGUCAUGCAUUUCAUAAGGCAGAGUAAUGCCCUGCAACAACAAAAUAAAGUCAAAGAGUUCUAC
RNAcentral lists this long non-coding RNA (923 nucleotides) under Homo sapiens (human). RNAcentral's name for it is "HSALNT0113572". Lineage: Eukaryota; Metazoa; Chordata; Mammalia; Primates; Hominidae. The record is from RNAcentral.